This 251-nucleotide ribosomal RNA is filed under the name uncultured prokaryote. Its description in RNAcentral is "partial 16S rRNA". It matches the Rfam family "Bacterial small subunit ribosomal RNA", at positions 525 to 775 of the family's 1533-position model. The record is from RNAcentral.
ACGGAGGAUGCAAGCGUUAUCCGGAUUCAUUGGGUUUAAAGGGUGCGCAGGCGGAAUGAUAAGUCAGUGGUGAAAUCCUACGGCUCAACUGUAGAACUGCCUUUGAUACUGUUGUUCUUGAGUACAGUUGAAGUGGGCGGAAUGUGUUGUGUAGCGGUGAAAUGCUUAGAUAUAACCCAGAACACCGAUCGCGAAGGCAGCUCACUAAGUUUUAACUGACGCUCAUGCACGAAAGCGUGGGGAUCAAACAG